GUCCCUUUGGGGACAUCCGAGGAAAUUGGAAGCAUGGCCCCUGCGCAAGGAUGACACGCUUUUAUCAAGCAAUGGUCCAAUUUUUU
Molecule: non-coding RNA, 86 nt
Organism: Glycine soja
Lineage: Eukaryota; Viridiplantae; Streptophyta; Magnoliopsida; Fabales; Fabaceae
Source: Rfam